Molecule: ribosomal RNA, 490 nt
Filed under: uncultured bacterium
Lineage: Bacteria
Description: partial 16S ribosomal RNA
Rfam family: Bacterial small subunit ribosomal RNA
Source: RNAcentral
AUUGAACGCUGGCGGCAGGCCUAACACAUGCAAGUCGAACGGUAACAGGAAGAAGCUUGCUUCUUUGCUGACGAGUGGCGGACGGGUGAGUAAUGUCUGGGAAACUGCCUGAUGGAGGGGGAUAACUACUGGAAACGGUAGCUAAUACCGCAUAACGUCGCAAGACCAAAGAGGGGGACCUUCGGGCCUCUUGCCAUCGGAUGUGCCCAGAUGGGAUUAGCUAGUAGGUGGGGUAACGGCUCACCUAGGCGACGAUCCCUAGCUGGUCUGAGAGGAUGACCAGCCACAAUGGAACUGAGACACGGUCCAGACUCCUACGGGAGGCAGCAGUGGGGAAUAUUGAACAAUGGGCGCAAGCCUGAUGCAGCCAUGCCGCGUGUAUGAAGAAGGCCUUCGGGUUGUAAAGUACUUUCAGCGGGGAGGAAGGGAGUAAAGUUAAUACCUUUGCUCAUUGACGUUACCCGCAGAAGAAGCACCGGCUAACUCCGUG